RNAcentral lists this ribosomal RNA (233 nucleotides) under uncultured bacterium. Its description in RNAcentral is "partial 16S ribosomal RNA". It matches the Rfam family "Bacterial small subunit ribosomal RNA", at positions 794 to 1026 of the family's 1533-position model. The record is from RNAcentral.
UCCACGCCGUAAACGAUGUCUACUAGUCGUUGGGUCCCUUGAGGACUUAGUGACGCAGCUAACGCAAUAAGUAGACCGCCUGGGGAGUACGGCCGCAAGGUUAAAACUCAAAUGAAUUGACGGGGGCCCGCACAAGCGGUGGAGCAUGUGGUUUAAUUCGAUGCAACGCGAAGAACCUUACCAGGUCUUGACAUCCAGAGAAUUCGCUAGAGAUAGCUUAGUGCCUUCGGGAA